UGCUCUGGUGUCCUAGUGGUUAGAGCGUCUGCCUUGGAUGUGGGAGGUCACAGGUUCGAUCCCUGGUUGAGUCA
Non-coding RNA from Potamilus streckersoni, 74 nucleotides. Lineage: Eukaryota; Metazoa; Mollusca; Bivalvia; Unionida; Unionidae. The record is from the annotation of a GenBank genome assembly.